This 314-nucleotide ribosomal RNA is filed under the name uncultured bacterium. RNAcentral describes it as "partial 16S ribosomal RNA". It matches the Rfam family "Bacterial small subunit ribosomal RNA", at positions 499 to 807 of the family's 1533-position model. The record is from RNAcentral.
UUAUAAGAGACAGCAGCCGCCGCGGUAAUACGAAGGGGGCUAGCGUUGCUCGGAAUGACUGGGCGUAAAGGGCGCGUAGGCGGAAUGCUUUGUCGGGCGUGAAAUUCCAGGGCUUAACCUUGGGGCUGCGUUCGAGACGGGUAUUCUAGAGUGGAGAAGAGGGUCGUGGAAUUCCCAGUGUAGAGGUGAAAUUCGUAGAUAUUGGGAAGAACACCGGUGGCGAAGGCGGCGACCUGGUCUUUUACUGACGCUGAGGCGCGAAAGCGUGGGGAGCAAACAGGAUUAGAUACCCGCGUAGUCCCUGUCUCUUAUAC